GGCCGGGUGCGAUGCAAGGGUUGGCUGCGAACCGGGUCAGGUCCGAAAGGAAGCAGCCCUAAGCAAACUUACCCUGUGCCGUCGUCAUUCCGGUCGUC
This 98-nucleotide signal recognition particle RNA is filed under the name Phycisphaerae bacterium. RNAcentral's name for it is "signal recognition particle sRNA small type". It matches the Rfam family "Bacterial small signal recognition particle RNA". Rfam says of the family: The signal recognition particle (SRP) is a universally conserved ribonucleoprotein involved in the co-translational targeting of proteins to membranes. The record is from RNAcentral. Lineage: Bacteria; Pseudomonadati; Planctomycetota; Phycisphaerae.